This 447-nucleotide long non-coding RNA is filed under the name Nicotiana benthamiana. RNAcentral's name for it is "long non-coding RNA (NBEN_LNC036709)". The record is from RNAcentral. Lineage: Eukaryota; Viridiplantae; Streptophyta; Magnoliopsida; Solanales; Solanaceae.
CCUUGAUAGGGGAGUCUGGAGGUCUAGAAUCAGGAUCGUAGGCUAGGGGCUCAUAGAGUUCACCGUACGCCUUUUCCGGGGUUGGGUGUGGGAUAGUAGGGUUACCCAUAGGUGAUUAGUGUUUUAGCUUAUGUCCCCAGAGGGUUGUUAGUAUGGUAGUUACUGCUUGUUAUUAUUGCAUGCGACUGUAUUUAUGUUGCUUAUGUUUCCAUAAUUAUUUACGUUAUUCCUGCGGGAGUACUUGUGCUUUAUUAUUUUGUUUUGUCUUGCUUGUGUUUCUAUUUUUACCUUUGUUUCUUAAUGCAGCUUUCCCUUUUUAUCCUAUACGCCGAGGGUCGACUGGAAACAGCCUCUCUGCCCUUUCGGGCAGGGGUAAGGCUCGUCUUCAUAUUACCCUCCCCAGACCCCACCUGGUGGGAAUAUACUGGGUAGUUGUUGUUGUUGUUG